Molecule: ribosomal RNA, 207 nt
Filed under: uncultured bacterium
Lineage: Bacteria
Description: partial 16S ribosomal RNA
Rfam family: Bacterial small subunit ribosomal RNA
Source: RNAcentral
UACGAAGGGGGGCUAGCGUUGUUCGGAAUUACUGGGCGUAAAGCGUGCGCAGGCGGUUGUGCAAGACCGAUGUGAAAUCCCCGGGCUUAACCUGGGAAUGGCAUUGGUGACUGCACGGCUAGAGUGUGUCAGAGGGGGGGUAGAAUUCCACGUGUAGCAGUGAAAUGCGUAGAGAUGUGGAGGAAUACCGAUGGCGAAGGCAGCCCC